CAGUCGCCGCGGUAAUACGUAGGUGGCAAGCGUUGUCCGGAAUUAUUGGGCGUAAAGGGCUCGCAGGCGGUUUCUUAAGUCUGAUGUGAAAGCCCCCGGCUCAACCGGGGAGGGUCAUUGGAAACUGGGAAACUUGAGUGCAGAAGAGGAGAGUGGAAUUCCACGCGUAGCGGUGAAAUGCGUAGGGAUGUGGAGGAACACCAGUGGCGAAGGCGACUCUCUGGUCUGUAACUGACGCUGAGGAGCGAAAGCGUGGGGAGCGAACAGGAUUAGAUACCCGCGUAGUCCCUGUCUCUUAUAC
RNAcentral lists this ribosomal RNA (301 nucleotides) under uncultured bacterium. RNAcentral describes it as "partial 16S ribosomal RNA". It matches the Rfam family "Bacterial small subunit ribosomal RNA", at positions 509 to 807 of the family's 1533-position model. The record is from RNAcentral.